RNAcentral lists this non-coding RNA (287 nucleotides) under Drosophila ananassae. RNAcentral describes it as "Eukaryotic large subunit ribosomal RNA". It matches the Rfam family "Eukaryotic large subunit ribosomal RNA", at positions 3150 to 3401 of the family's 3401-position model. The record is from Rfam by way of RNAcentral. Lineage: Eukaryota; Metazoa; Arthropoda; Insecta; Diptera; Drosophilidae.
AUAAAUAAGGGGCAAUUUGCAUUGUAUGGCUUCUAAACCAUUUAAAGUUUAUUAUUUAUAUUUUAAACGACAAUGGAUGUGAUGCCAAUGUAAUUUGUAACAUAGUAAAUUGGGAGGAUCUUUGAUCACCUGGUGCCAUGCUAGUUACAUAUGAAAACAUUAUUUAAUACAAUGACAAAGCCUAGAAUCAAUUGUAAACGACUUUUGUAACGGGCAAGGUGUUGUAAGUGGUUGAGCAGUUGCCAUACUGCGAUCCACUGAAGCUUAUCCUUUGCAUGAUGAUUCGA